AUUCAAUAUUUUUCUUAAAACGACAUUCGUAUGCCAAAACCUUCGGUUUCUUUUUACGCGAACCUAGAAACCUUUUCUUCUUCAAUCUCAAAUUCUCCCACACCCAAAACCUAUCACCCAAUCAAAAACCCUUACUCUUUUCUUCCAUAGUCACUCAAUCUCACUCAUUGAAACCCUAAAACCCAGAAGCUCAACUCGUUUAAACCAGAACCCAGAACUCGUUAAAACCCUAAAACCAUCUGCCCCAUCGUUCUAGAGUUCGUUGAACCCAGAAACUCUUCAUCGUGUUUGCAUCGUUCACCAUUAUUCAUCGCAAUUGAACCUCGUCUCGGUCAUAAGGAAUGCAAGCUUUCAAUUUUUGUGCUUUUCUAAUGUCUUGAAAAUAAAAUUCCAUUGAAAGAUGGUGAAUUGGAGAGUUCACACUUCACACAUAAUGGGCUAAUAAGAGGGAUUAUAUCAAAUCUUGUCCAAUUCACGUCCACAUACCUUCGAGUUCAACAAUUGUCCUAAUCCCUUUGAUUUUGACACUCAAUCGCUGCUUCUAAUAGAGAGACCGCGACGAAUCCUAAUCUCACGAUUCAACUUCCAAUCGUAGCAAUUGUGAGACCACAAUGAACCCUAAUCUCACUCCUCAGUGAUUUCUGCAAAAUCUCUUCAAUCCAUCUCUUUUGCAAUUUCUUGUUUUGUCCAUUUGAGUUUGCAAUUGCACCGAAGGUGGAGGAUAAUAUCGGCGCUGUUCCACAUGGACUUUCAAUAGAUUCAAAUGUGGUUAAGAGGGAAUUGGAAUCGUUCAUUCGUUCUCGAAGAGAUUGCAUCGGAGUAACACAAAGAAGUUUGAGUUUCAAGCGGAAGUGUCAAGACUUAUUUCAAAUGCUUCUAGUGCAUUGGACAAGAUUAGGUUCCUUUCCCUCACUGACAAGGAGAUUUUAGGUGAAGGUGACAACGCCAAGCUUGAAAUCCAGGUUAUCAUUUCUAAAUAUUUAAUUUAAGCAUCUAUUUAUAUCAUUAGAUUAGUUAAUUAGUUUAUUUUCCUAUAUUUGUUUUGUUAAUUUAUGAUGAAUACCUAAGAAAGGGUUAUAGUUAAUUGUUUUUUUAGUGGUUUAUUUCGUAUAAUUAAACCGUGUUACGUACUGUUACAGAUUAAGUUAGAUAAAGAAAAGAAAAUUCUAUAUAUUUGAGACAAAGGUAUUGGUAUGACAAAGGAGGAUUUAGUAAAGAAUUUGGGUACCAUAGCAAAGUCUGGAACUUCAGUUAUGUAUAUAUAACUUUUGGGAGUUUGCUGUAAUGAUUGCUGCCAGUAAUUUAGUGUGGAAGAUUUUAUAUGGAACUAUGUUUGCUUGCAGUCUUUGUUGAGAAAAUGCAGACAAGUGGUGAUCUCAAUUUAAUUGGAAAAUUUGGAGUUGUGGAUUCUUCUUUGUCUAUCUUGUGGCUGACUAUGUUGAAGUUAUUUAAUCCCAAUUUACCGAUUUUGGAACUAUGUAAUGAUUGUUUGACUUUCAGGUUUGAUGGGAAUCAAAAGCUGAUGGAGCAUUUUGCAGUUAUUUGACGUUCCGUUUAGUUUAGGUUGAAGAUUUCGUUAAUGCAUCUGAAAAGUAUAUCUCUGUUUAUAUAUGUGCCUUUUCUAUAAUUUUAAACCAUUUGUGAUGCGAUAUAAAAUGAAGGACAUUGCCAAUAGUAGAAGCUAUCUAAUGUAAUUAUCUAUUAGAAGUCAUCAAAUUACUUCCAAAUUUGUGGGCUUUCAUUGUAAUUGCUUCAUAUACUUGUUGGAAUGUCCAUGUUUUUACAUAAAACAUAUAACGGUUCAUUGUAGAAGUCACUUCCACAUACUUGUCAUUGUCAUAUACUAGCUUGUUAGGAUUACUUUCUCUGAUGUUCAACUGUCUUCAUUAUUCGUUGUUCAAUCUGAAGCUGGAGCAUUUCUAUUCUUGCAGGUCAGCAUGACGCUGAAUAUUAUAAAAAUAAGUGGUUUCUUAUUUGGUAUUUUUGCAACUAAUAAAGUUUCAUUGCAAAUGCCUAUUAUUUCUUAUUUGGUAUUUAUGCAUUGUGUCUUGGUAGGGAUUGAAAGAUGGUACUAAGAAAUAGAGUAUGAGAGAAUUAGUGAGAAGAAAGUUUUGUCUACUUCUACUAAGAUUUUACAAGUUGAAUGAAGGAAUGCUCUUUCUUUGAUAUAAUUUGACCUGCUCAAAAUUCUUCUUUUAAUGGAAAUGGACACAAGAUAGAGGAAGUGGGAUAUUAUGUGUUGUUAUAUCUCUUAGUAUUGUUAUAUCUUAGUAUUUUAGAGGCAUAUUGGCUGUAUGUUCUAGUUUUUGUAUUGUUAUAUCUUGGUUAUCUUUUUGAUUGAUUAUAUAUAUGUAUUUUUGGAUAAA
This is a long non-coding RNA of Trifolium pratense (red clover), 2366 nucleotides long. RefSeq lists it as uncharacterized. The record is from RefSeq and is a predicted model, not a curated record. NCBI's taxonomy places the organism in Eukaryota, Viridiplantae, Streptophyta, Magnoliopsida, Fabales, Fabaceae. The transcript is spliced from 7 exons.